GGCUGCCAAGCUAAUCAGGUGAAAGCGCUGGUCUGAAAAGCCAGAGAGUCCGGCUCGAUACCGGGGGCGGCCACCA
RNAcentral lists this transfer RNA (76 nucleotides) under Occallatibacter sp. RNAcentral describes it as "tRNA-Phe". It matches the Rfam family "tRNA". Rfam says of the family: Transfer RNA (tRNA) molecules are approximately 80 nucleotides in length. Their secondary structure includes four short double-helical elements and three loops (D, anti-codon, and T loops). Lineage: Bacteria; Pseudomonadati; Acidobacteriota; Terriglobia; Terriglobales; Acidobacteriaceae. The record is from RNAcentral.